GACGAACGCUGGCGGCGUGCCUAAUACAUGCAAGUCGAGCGAAAGGACCAGCAGUUUGCGCCGCUGACGUUGGGGGCGGACGGGUGAGUAACACGUGGAUACCCUACCUAUAAAGCGGGGAUAACUUCGGGAAACGGGGUCUAAUCCCAAAUAAUAUGUGGAACCGAGUGGGUGAUGGGAAAGAGACGGGGGUGCUGGCACGUGUAGGGGUAUCCGCGCUGCAUUAGCUAGUUUGUGAGGUAACGGGUUACCAAGGCAACUAGUCAUAGCCGACGUGAUGGGGGGAUCGGCGCCACUGGACGUUCGACACGGUCCAGACUCCUACGGGACGCAGCAGUCGGAAACCGUCCGCAAUGGUCGAAAUCCUGACGGAGCAACGCGGCGUGAGUGAUGAAGGUCUUCGGAUCGUAAAACUCUGUUAUUAGGGAAGAACAUAUGUGUAAGUAAAUGUGCCCAUCUUGACGGUACCUAAUCAGAAAGCCACGGCUAACUACGUG
Molecule: ribosomal RNA, 497 nt
Filed under: uncultured bacterium
Lineage: Bacteria
Description: partial 16S ribosomal RNA
Rfam family: Bacterial small subunit ribosomal RNA
Source: RNAcentral